Schistosoma mansoni is the source of this 45-nucleotide non-coding RNA. The record is from Rfam. Lineage: Eukaryota; Metazoa; Platyhelminthes; Trematoda; Strigeidida; Schistosomatidae.
GUCCAGCUGAUGAGUCCCAAAUAGGACGAAACGCGCGUGCUGGGU